This 253-nucleotide ribosomal RNA is filed under the name uncultured bacterium. Its description in RNAcentral is "partial 16S ribosomal RNA". It matches the Rfam family "Bacterial small subunit ribosomal RNA", at positions 524 to 776 of the family's 1533-position model. The record is from RNAcentral.
UACGUAGGUGGCGAGCGUUGUCCGGAUUUACUGGGCGUAAAGAGCGCGCAGGCGGCUGGUCAAGUCCGAUAUGAAAGCUCCCGGCUUAACUGGGAAAUUGCAUCGGAAACUGAUCGGCUGGAAGGUGGGAGAGGGUAGCGGAAUUCCCGGUGUAGUGGUGAAAUGCGUAGAUAUCGGGAGGAACACCAGUGGCGAAAGCGGCUACCUGGCCCAUUCUUGACGCUGAGGCGCGAAAGCUAGGGGAGCAAACGGG